RNAcentral lists this ribosomal RNA (486 nucleotides) under uncultured bacterium. RNAcentral describes it as "partial 16S ribosomal RNA". It matches the Rfam family "Bacterial small subunit ribosomal RNA", at positions 30 to 507 of the family's 1533-position model. The record is from RNAcentral.
AUUGAACGCUGGCGGCAUGCCUUACACAUGCAAGUCGAACGGCAGCACGGGUGCUUGCACCUGGUGGCGAGUGGCGAACGGGUGAGUAAUACAUCGGAACAUGUCCUGUAGUGGGGGAUAGCCCGGCGAAAGCCGGAUUAAUACCGCAUACGAUCCACGGAUGAAAGCGGGGGACCUUCGGGCCUCGCGCUAUAGGGUUGGCCGAUGGCUGAUUAGCUAGUUGGUGGGGUAAAGGCCUACCAAGGCGACGAUCAGUAGCUGGUCUGAGAGGACGACCAGCCACACUGGGACUGAGACACGGCCCAGACUCCUACGGGAGGCAGCAGUGGGGAAUUUUGAACAAUGGGCGAAAGCCUGAUCCAGCAAUGCCGCGUGUGUGAAGAAGGCCUUCGGGUUGUAAAGCACUUUUGUCCGGAAAGAAAUCCUUGGCUCUAAUACAGUCGGGGGAUGACGGUACCGGAAGAAUAAGCACCGGCUAACUACGUG